Molecule: ribosomal RNA, 253 nt
Filed under: uncultured bacterium
Lineage: Bacteria
Description: partial 16S ribosomal RNA
Rfam family: Bacterial small subunit ribosomal RNA
Source: RNAcentral
GACGAACCGUGCAAACGUUGUUCGGAAUCACUGGGCUUAAAGGGCGCGUAGGCGGGCUCGCCAGUCAGGGGUGAAAGCCUCCAGCUCAACUGGAGAAGUGCCUUUGAUACUGCGAGUCUCGAGGGAGGUAGGGGCGUGCGGAACUUCCGGUGGAGCGGUGAAAUGCGUAGAUAUCGGAAGGAACACCGGUGGCGAAAGCGGCGCGCUGGACCUCUUCUGACGCUGAGGCGCGAAAGCCAGGGGAGCAAACGGG